CCUGAAGUUUUCUGGGCCCCUGCCCCGCUCAAUGCUAAAUCAUGGGCAGAUGUCGAGGAUGAAGAUGAUGACGAUUACUUUGCUACCACUGCCCCACCUCAGGCCGUUUGGGGUUCCUCAGAGCCACAUCAAAGUGACGAUAAGCCCACCAACAUAGAGGAAAGUGAGAGUGAAGAAGAUAUUUUAGAUGAAGGUGAUGAUGA
Molecule: unclassified non-coding RNA, 203 nt
Filed under: Hevea brasiliensis (rubber tree)
Lineage: Eukaryota; Viridiplantae; Streptophyta; Magnoliopsida; Malpighiales; Euphorbiaceae
Source: RNAcentral